GCUGGGUGUGGUGGCACACGCCUGUAAUCCCAGCUACUUGGGAGGCUGAGGCAGGAGAAUUGCUUGAACCCGGGAGGCAGAGGUUGCAGUGAGCUGAGAUCACGCCACUGCUCUCCAGCCUGGGUGAGAAAGCAAGACUCUGUCUCAA
RNAcentral lists this non-coding RNA (148 nucleotides) under Nomascus leucogenys (northern white-cheeked gibbon). Lineage: Eukaryota; Metazoa; Chordata; Mammalia; Primates; Hylobatidae. The record is from Rfam by way of RNAcentral.